Molecule: ribosomal RNA, 245 nt
Filed under: uncultured bacterium
Lineage: Bacteria
Description: partial 16S ribosomal RNA
Rfam family: Bacterial small subunit ribosomal RNA
Source: RNAcentral
AGUAACGCGUGAGGAACCUGCCUUCCAGAGGGGGACAACAGUUGGAAACGACUGCUAAUACCGCAUGAUACGUUGGAGCCGCAUGACUCCGACGUCAAAGAUUUAUCGCUGGAAGAUGGCCUCGCGUCUGAUUAGCUAGUUGGCGGGGCAACGGCCCACCAAGGCGACGAUCAGUAGCCGGACUGAGAGGUUGGCCGGCCACAUUGGGACUGAGACACGGCCCAGACUCCUACGGAAGGCAGCAG